UGUCUCAAAGAUUAAGCCAUGCAUGUCUAAGUUCACCCCCUCGGACGGGUAAACCGCGAAUGGCUCAUUAAAUCAGUCGAGGUUCCUUAGAUGACACGACCCCCCACUCGGAUAACUGUGGCAAUUCCAGAGCUAAUACGUGCCUCGCAAGCCCCGACCCCCUCGCGGGGGAAGGGGCGCUUUUAUUAGUUCAAAACCGGUGGCGCAGCCCCUUCGCGGGGGCUCGCCCUCCCGCUGGUGACUCUGGAUAACUUUGCGCUGAUCGCACGGCCCCCGCGCCGGCGACGCAUCUUUCAAAUGUCUGCCCUAUCAAAUGUCGACGGUACGUGACAUGCCUACCGUGUUGGCGACGGGUGACGGGGAAUCAGGGUUCGGUUCCGGAGAGGGAGCACGAGAAACGGCUACCACAUCCAAGGAAGGCAGCAGGCGCGCAACUUACCCACUCCCGGCACGGGGAGGUAGUGACGAAAAAUAACAAUACGGGACUCUUCAUGAGGCCCCGUAAUUGGAAUGAGCGCAGUCUAAACCCUUGGGCGAGGACCCAUUGGAGGGCAAGUCUGGUGCCAGCAGCCGCGGUAAUUCCAGCUCCAAUAGCGUAUAUUAAAGUUGUUGCAGUUAAAAAGCUCGUAGUUGGAUCUCGGGAGCAGGCGGGCGGUCCGGCUCGCGCCGGUUCGCCGCCCGUUCACCUGCCCCACCCCUGCCGGCUCCCUCCCGGCGGUGCUCUUCGCUGAGCGUCCCGGGUGGCCGGCGCGUUUACUUUGAAAAAAUUAGAGUGUUCAAGGCGGGCCCGCCGCGCCCGAAUAACUGCGCAUGGAAUAAUGGAAUAGGACCUCGGUUCUAUUUUGCUGGUUUUCGGAAUCCGAGGUAAUGAUUGACGGGGACAAACGGGGGCAUUCGUAUUGCGGCGUUAGAGGUGAAAUUCUUGGAUCC
This 930-nucleotide ribosomal RNA is filed under the name Gymnodoris ceylonica. RNAcentral's name for it is "SSU rRNA". It matches the Rfam family "Eukaryotic small subunit ribosomal RNA", at positions 33 to 927 of the family's 1831-position model. Lineage: Eukaryota; Metazoa; Mollusca; Gastropoda; Nudibranchia; Gymnodorididae. The record is from RNAcentral.